Non-coding RNA from Cinara cedri, 355 nucleotides. The record is from the annotation of a GenBank genome assembly. Lineage: Eukaryota; Metazoa; Arthropoda; Insecta; Hemiptera; Aphididae.
ACUACCGCAUUACAGCCAACGACCGGCAGGCAAACUGUUUUGCAGAUCAACGAGGUAAGCGAAAGUUACUUUACUUCCGUAGUAGAAUAGUAUUUAGUUUCUUCAUAGUAAGGAAAAACUAAUUUAUAAAUUCGUUUAAACACACACCCAUACAGAAUAGGACGACCUUCGGACGAUACACAAUAAUAUCCCAUAUUAUACGGUACGAUUUUAUUAUAUAAUAUGAUUUACAUACAUCGUAUCUACAUCGCGUCUCAACACCAUAUUUGGCUGUCUGUACAUAGUGGCAACGUAGCGUCCGCGUUAAGUCAUAAAGUCGUCACACAUACACCCCUUUAAUGCUCACCACUGUGUU